Molecule: long non-coding RNA, 1280 nt
Organism: Silurus meridionalis
Lineage: Eukaryota; Metazoa; Chordata; Actinopteri; Siluriformes; Siluridae
Exons: 2
Source: RefSeq, a predicted model, not a curated record
ACAGCGGGAGUUUAGUACCUUCUGUGCUUACAAAACUCUAUGUUUGUGGUGAAUGAAAUUCUGAAAAAAACGCAUCAGGAUGGGCGUGCUCAAGCACCAGCCAUGAACAGGAGAAAGAGCUGGUAAAGACAGAGCGGAGCACAGAGCUGCUCUCUCUAAUCUGCCUCCCAUGUCCUAAUUACCCUCACAGCCUAGCAGGCUUUUCACACUGGUACAGAUACCUGGGUGUGAAGACAAUACGUCACCAUAAAGCCCUAACACCUCGCUGAAACCAAUAAAGAACCACCAACCUCCACCAAGUUCACCUUGACCUGUGCAUGACAAUGGUCCUUCAAGACCUUCCCUCACAUCACCACCACUCUACAAUGUGAGCUAACAUGCUAAUAGAACAUUUCAUUCCACUAUUACUUCCUCAUUCCUCUUAUUGUGAUCUACACUACUCUGGGAAGGCUUUCCACCAGACUUUGGGGCACGGCUGUGGGGUACUAGAGCAUUGUUCACAUUCAACACUGAUGUAUGUUGUUGAGGAAGUUCUGGUUCCUCUGUGCAGGACGAUAUCAGAACGAGGUAUCUCUGAGAAAGAUCAGAACAAGGUAUAAAAUACGAGGUAUCACUAAAGGAUCAUGAUGAGGAACCAAAAUGAGGUUUCACUGUGAAGGAUCAGAACGAGGUAUCAGAAUGAGGUCUCACAUAAUGUUAAUCAUUCGAUUAUAUUCUCUGCUAUUUCCAGUCCACAUUGAUCUGAGAGGCUGAGACACACACACACACACACACACACACACACACACACACACACACACACACACACACACACACACAGCACAGAAACUUUCCCCAUGAUGUCACCACAGGAAAUCAGAACAUUUCUCCAUCUUUCCUACAGUUUCUACGUUUUUUUUCAUCAUGCAGCUGCGGUUGCCCAGCGACUUUCUCCAUGACAACAGAUCAAAGAGGGCAUCGGUCGCCAUGCCGACCAUCAUCACUUCUGUAUCUCUAACAGUGUUCUAUAUAACGAUACACUGAAGGAAGGAGUCUCCAGUGUCAGAGGAAGAUCUCCUACAUCUUCAGGACAGAGGAGGUUACGCUUCUUUACGGUGUCUCUAAAGAAAGGACGGGGAGAGAACGUGUGUUUGUAGCUGCUAUAACGUCAGUGAGAGCAGGACGGGAUUCGACUCAUGGAGGCUCCACAGAGGAACAAACGUCUGAUAAACAAAAGACUGCAGUGAAAGAGAGUUUCUCUCAGUUUUCAGCUUUUCAAUUAAUAAAGAGUUUUAAAUGUA